Molecule: ribosomal RNA, 93 nt
Filed under: Vibrio splendidus
Lineage: Bacteria; Pseudomonadati; Pseudomonadota; Gammaproteobacteria; Vibrionales; Vibrionaceae
Also listed under: 1 other name
Source: RNAcentral
CCCACCUGAUUCCAUGCCGAACUCAGAAGUGAAACACAAUAGCGCCGAUGGUAGUGUGGGGCUUCCCCAUGUGAGAGUAGGACAUCGCCAGGC